Long non-coding RNA from Betta splendens (Siamese fighting fish), 1073 nucleotides. RefSeq lists it as uncharacterized. Lineage: Eukaryota; Metazoa; Chordata; Actinopteri; Anabantiformes; Osphronemidae. The transcript has 4 exons. The record is from RefSeq and is a predicted model, not a curated record.
UACAGUAUGUUUCAGGUUAAGUUCGUUUCACAGGUUAUUGAGAAGGCCAUGCCCGUUUGAUGAUGAGCCUGUGGACGCGGAGGCGUAGCUUAUACAAGGAUUCUCCCGCCGUGAAAGGCUCAUAAGGCCACGUACAGUAUUGAUGUGUUUUCACAUCCUGAUGAUUAUUUGAAGGAGCGUUAUCACUUUUCUAAAGAAUUCUUAAUGUAUUUAACAAACCUUUUGAAACCUUUAAUUUCAAACAUAACAAACCACAGGUCUGUGCUAACCACAGAAAUCAUUCUGGCAAUAGCUCUUAUUUUUUUGCGUCAUAUUUUUUGGACAUUUUUUGUAUAAUUUGGGCAAUGCAGAGCAUGUGGGAAAGGCAACGGCAAUAUGUGAUGCCACCCAUCUAAUCACGAAUAUGGAAACGAAAUGGCCAGGGUCAGUACAUGACUCGAAAAUCGUCAGGGAGUCAUCACUAUGCCACACGUUUCAACGGGGACAAUGGCUACUUGCUGGGGGACAGAGGGAACCCAUGUCUACCCUAUUUAAUGACCCUACCCUGAACCCUAGCCUGGUUCAGGGUAGGGUCCAGGUUCACCACGCAUGGGACAGAGCCAGCUCAUCAGAUGGGAUCAGGGGAGGUGGUGGUGGACCCCCACCUAUCUGACGAGUCUCUGCCUUCUUUCUAUUAGCUACAGAAGAAAUACAUUAAAACAUGUUUAAUACAUAGAUAUAAUUGUGUAAUCAAAUCUUUCGUAGGAUGUUUUUGUGUUUCAUCUUGACUUCUUGACAGAGUUGGUCUUGCUCCAGAAGGAUUACACCUUAUUAAACAAGAAUAUUACUAUUAUCCAAUAUUAUUCUAAUAUUAUGAAACUGAUAGUACAAAUGAUGUGGAAGUUAUGUUUAACUUUCCAUCAUAAUAAAAGAGGAGAGGGAAACAUAACUAUAAUUAAAUGAACUCACGCAUUUACAAUGUCAAAAAACUUGUCUAAGUGCCAACUACCUUGUUCGGUAGCCAAACAGCUGUUCAAGUCCGCAAAGUCCUGAUAAGAUGGUUCUUUCCUCAUUUUAUUAAAGAGUAGACUCCG